RNAcentral lists this ribosomal RNA (492 nucleotides) under uncultured bacterium. RNAcentral describes it as "partial 16S ribosomal RNA". It matches the Rfam family "Bacterial small subunit ribosomal RNA", at positions 29 to 507 of the family's 1533-position model. The record is from RNAcentral.
AGUGAACGCUGGCGGUAGGCCUAACACAUGCAAGUCGAACGGCAGCACAGUAAGAGCUUGCUCUUACGGGUGGCGAGUGGCGGACGGGUGAGGAAUACAUCGGAAUCUACUUUUUCGUGGGGGAUAACGUAGGGAAACUUACGCUAAUACCGCAUACGACCUACGGGUGAAAGCAGGGGAUCUUCGGACCUUGCGCGAUUGAAUGAGCCGAUGUCGGAUUAGCUAGUUGGCGGGGUAAAGGCCCACCAAGGCGACGAUCCGUAGCUGGUCUGAGAGGAUGAACUGCCACACUGGAACUGAGACACGGUCCAGACUCCUACGGGAGGCAGCAGUGGGGAAUAUUGGACAAUGGGCGCAAGCCUGAUCCAGCCAUACCGCGUGGGUGAAGAAGGCCUUCGGGUUGUAAAGCCCUUUUGUUGGGAAAGAAAAGCAGCAGGUUAAUACCCCGCUGUUCUGACGGUACCCAAAGAAUAAGCACCGGCUAACUUCGUG